RNAcentral lists this small RNA (701 nucleotides) under Pongo abelii (Sumatran orangutan). RNAcentral's name for it is "processed transcript". The record is from RNAcentral. Lineage: Eukaryota; Metazoa; Chordata; Mammalia; Primates; Hominidae.
UCGUUCUUACUACUGGAUAGGAAUCCGGAAGAUAGGAGGAAUAUGGACGUGGGUGGGAACCAACAAAUCUCUCACUGAAGAAGCAGAGAACUGGGGAGAUGGUGAGCCCAACAACAAGAAGAACAAGGAGGACUGCGUGGAGAUCUAUAUCAAGAGAAACAAAGAUGCAGGCAAAUGGAACGAUGACGCCUGCCACAAACUAAAGGCAGCCCUCUGUUACACAGCUUCUUGCCAGCCCUGGUCAUGCAGUGGCCAUGGAGAAUGUGUAGAAAUCAUCAAUAAUUACACCUGCAACUGUGAUGUGGGGUACUAUGGGCCCCAGUGUCAGUUUGUGAUUCAGUGUGAGCCUUUGGAGGCCCCGGAGCUGGGUACCAUGGACUGUACUCACCCUUUGGGAAACUUCAGCUUCAGCUCACAGUGUGCUUUCAACUGCUCUGAGGGAACAAACUUAACUGGAAUUGAAGAAACCACUUGUGGACCAUUUGGAAACUGGUCAUCUCCAGAACCAACCUGUCAAGGAGAAUAACAACUGAAGAACAAAAACACAAUCUCUCGAUCUUUUUAAGUUUGAAAUAUGUGAUUCAGUGUGAGCCUCUAUCAGCACCAGAUUUGGGGAUCAUGAACUGUAGCCAUCCCCUGGCCAGCUUCAGCUUUACCUCCGCAUGUACCUUCAUCUGCUCAGAAGGAACUGAGUUAAUUGG